UGCCAGCCGCCGCGGUAAUACGGAGGGGGCUAGCGUUGUUCGGAAUUACUGGGCGUAAAGCGCACGUAGGCGGAUUAGUCAGUCAGGGGUGAAAUCCCGAAGCUCAACUUCGGAACUGCCUUUGAUACUGCUUGUCUAGAGUCCGAGAGAGGUGAGUGGAAUUCCUAGUGUAGAGGUGAAAUUCGUAGAUAUUAGGAAGAACACCAGUGGCGAAGGCGGCUCACUGGCUCGGUACUGACGCUGAGGUGCGAAAGCGUGGGGAGCAAACAGGAUUAGAUA
Molecule: ribosomal RNA, 279 nt
Filed under: uncultured bacterium
Lineage: Bacteria
Description: partial 16S ribosomal RNA
Rfam family: Bacterial small subunit ribosomal RNA
Source: RNAcentral